Molecule: ribosomal RNA, 274 nt
Filed under: uncultured bacterium
Lineage: Bacteria
Description: partial 16S ribosomal RNA
Rfam family: Bacterial small subunit ribosomal RNA
Source: RNAcentral
AUACGGAGGGUGCAAGCGUUGUUCGGAUUUACUGGGCGUAAAGCGCACGUAGGCGGACUGUCAAGUCGGGUGUGAAAACCGGUGGCUUAACCACUGGCCUGCGCUCGAAACUGGUAGUCUUGAGUACCGGAGAGGAUGGCGGAAUUCCUGGUGUAGCGGUGAAAUGCGUAGAUAUCAGGAAGAACACCGGCGGCGAAGGCGGCCAUCUGGACGGAUACUGACGCUCAGGUGCGAAGGCUAGGGGAGCAAACAGGAUUAGAAACCCCAGUAGUCC